RNAcentral lists this ribosomal RNA (529 nucleotides) under uncultured bacterium. Its description in RNAcentral is "bacterial SSU rRNA". It matches the Rfam family "Bacterial small subunit ribosomal RNA", at positions 388 to 908 of the family's 1533-position model. The record is from RNAcentral.
UCAGCCAUGCCGCGUGUGUGAAGAAGGCCUUUUGGUUGUAAAGCACUUUAAGCGAGGAGGAGGCUACCUAGAUUAAUACUCUGGGAUAGUGGACGUUACUCGCAAAAUAAGCACCGGCUAACUCUGUGCCAGCAGCCGCGGUAAUACAGAGGGUGCGAGCGUUAAUCGGAUUUACUGGGCGUAAAGCGUGCGUAGGCGGCUGAUUAAGUCGGAUGUGAAAUCCCUGAGCUUAACUUAGGAAUUGCAUUCGAUACUGGUCAGCUAGAGUAUGGGAGAGGAUGGUAGAAUUCCAGGUGUAGCGGUGAAAUGCGUAGAGAUCUGGAGGAAUACCGAUGGCGAAGGCAGCCAUCUGGCCUAAUACUGACGCUGAGGUACGAAAGCAUGGGGAGCAAACAGGAUUAGAUACCCUGGUAGUCCAUGCCGUAAACGAUGUCUACUAGCCGUUGGGGUCUUUGAGGCUUUAGUGGCGCAGCUAACGCGAUAAGUAGACCGCCUGGGGAGUACGGUCGCAAGACUAAAACUCAAAUGA